RNAcentral lists this ribosomal RNA (305 nucleotides) under uncultured bacterium. Its description in RNAcentral is "bacterial SSU rRNA". It matches the Rfam family "Bacterial small subunit ribosomal RNA", at positions 333 to 635 of the family's 1533-position model. The record is from RNAcentral.
UAGUGCCUACGGGGGGCAGCAGUGAGGAAUAUUGGUCAAUGGUCGGGAGACUGAACCAGCCAAGCCGCGUGAGGGAUGAAGGUACAGAGUAUCGUAAACCUCUUUUGUCAGGGAACAAAGGCGGGGACGUGUCCCCGGAUGAGUGUACCUGAAGAAGAAGCACCGGCUAACUACGUGCCAGCAGCCGCGGUAAUACGUAGGGUGCAAGCGUUAUCCGGAUUUACUGGGUGUAAAGGGCGAGUAGACGGCGUUGCAAGUCAGAUGUGAAAGGCUAGGGCUCAACCUUAGGAGAGCAUCUGAAACUG